This 279-nucleotide long non-coding RNA is filed under the name Lathyrus oleraceus (garden pea). Its description in RNAcentral is "Pisum sativum (pea) long non-coding RNA (PSAT_LNC028883)". The record is from RNAcentral. Lineage: Eukaryota; Viridiplantae; Streptophyta; Magnoliopsida; Fabales; Fabaceae.
UCAUACAUUACCAAAUAACAUCAAAACUCAUCAUAUUUAAACAAAAUUUUCUCAUUCAAUAUACAAAAAAUAGACUAGAAAAAAAAGUGGAAUAAAAAACAUAAAAUAGUAACAUAAAAUAAUAUCAAAGACAUUAUAAUAAAACAUAAAAAAUAAAUGAGAAGAGAAAUUAGAGAAGAAGAAGAAAAAAGAAUAGAAGAGAUGCGUGAUUAAAGAAGAAAAGUGUGAUAAAAACAUAAUUGGAAGAGAAAACAGUAGCAUAAAAAUGAUAAGAUGAAA